RNAcentral lists this non-coding RNA (21 nucleotides) under Caenorhabditis elegans. The record is from RNAcentral. Lineage: Eukaryota; Metazoa; Nematoda; Chromadorea; Rhabditida; Rhabditidae.
UAUUGCACAGUAGAACUUAAC